RNAcentral lists this ribosomal RNA (425 nucleotides) under uncultured bacterium. RNAcentral describes it as "partial 16S ribosomal RNA". It matches the Rfam family "Bacterial small subunit ribosomal RNA", at positions 354 to 796 of the family's 1533-position model. The record is from RNAcentral.
GUGGGGAAUCUUGCGCAAUGGGCGAAAGCCUGACGCAGCCAUGCCGCGUGAAUGAUGAAGGUCUUAGGAUUGUAAAAUUCUUUCACCGGGGACGAUAAUGACGGUACCCGGAGAAGAAGCCCCGGCUAACUUCGUGCCAGCAGCCGCGGUAAUACGAAGGGGGCUAGCGUUGCUCGGCAUUACUGGGCGUAAAGGGCGCGUAGGCGGACAGUUUAGUCAGAGGUGAAAGCCCAGGGCUCAACCUUGGAAUUGCCUUUGAUACUGGCUGUCUUGAGUACGGGAGAGGUGAGUGGAACUCCGAGUGUAGAGGUGAAAUUCGUAGAUAUUCGGAAGAACACCAGUGGCGAAGGCGACUCACUGGCCCGUUACUGACGCUGAGGCGCGAAAGCGUGGGGAGCAAACAGGAUUAGAUACCCGUGUAGUCC